Molecule: ribosomal RNA, 119 nt
Filed under: Helianthus annuus (common sunflower)
Lineage: Eukaryota; Viridiplantae; Streptophyta; Magnoliopsida; Asterales; Asteraceae
Source: RNAcentral
GGUUGCGAUCAUACCAGCACUAAUGCACCGGAUCCCAUCAGAACUCCGCAGUUAAGCGUGCUUGGGCGAUAGUAGUACUAGGAUGGGUGACCCCCUGGGAAGUCCUCGUGUUGCAACCC